UAAGGAAUAUUGGGCAAUGGACGCAAGUCUGACCCAGCCAUGCCGCGUGAAGGAUGAAUGUCCUAUGGAUUGUAAACUUCUUUUAUGCAGGAAAAAUAUCCCGGUCGUGAACCGGGACUGAUGGUACUGUAUGAAUAAGCAUCGGCUAACUCCGUGCCAGCAGCCGCGGUAAUACGGAGGAUGCAAGCGUUAUCCGGAUUCAUUGGGUUUAAAGGGUGCGCAGGCGGAAUGAUAAGUCAGUGGUGAAAUCUCCCGGCUCAACCGGGAAACUGCCAUUGAUACUGCCAUUCUUGAGUACAGUUGAAGUGGGCGGAAUGUGUCAUGUAGCGGUGAAAUGCUUAGAUAUGACACAGAACACCGAUAGCGAAGGCAGCUCACUAAGCUGUAACUGACGCUCAUGCACGAAAGCGUGGGGAUCAAACAGG
This 425-nucleotide ribosomal RNA is filed under the name uncultured Bacteroidales bacterium. RNAcentral describes it as "bacterial SSU rRNA". It matches the Rfam family "Bacterial small subunit ribosomal RNA", at positions 355 to 776 of the family's 1533-position model. The record is from RNAcentral. Lineage: Bacteria; Pseudomonadati; Bacteroidota; Bacteroidia; Bacteroidales.